AUCAGCGACAGGAUCCAGCGGGGCCGCCCCCCGUCCUUCCUGCUGGAGUUCCACAGUCUGCAGUACGCCCUGAUGCUGAGCGCCUUCGCCGGGGUGCUGGGGGGCGGCUUCUUCCUCGCCACCGCACUCUUCAUCCAGGGUGACCGUAAGCGGGCCGAGCUCAGCACCCAGGGUCUGCUGCCGGAGGAAGCCGAGCCGGAGGACCAGAUUGUGGUGCCGAAGCGCGGCCGAUCCACCAAAGUGCCCGUCUCCAGUGUCCUCAUCUGAGAGCCACCCCCACCCCCGGUGCUGGGGCCGGGUGCCACCAGUCGGGCAGAGACUAUCGCUGCCCCCCACGGGCCAGACGUGGGGCAGGCCGAACUGUGCCAGUUUGGGGGGCUGGUAUUGUAUGUGAGCGUGGAGCCCCCCGUGGAUGGGGCACCCUGGGCUGGGACAAGCCAGGGACCCGCAACUUAACACCCCAGUCCCUGGCGCAGAGAGGGGCUUAGGGACUGAGAGAGGGGGCUCUUGGAUUCCUUGGGGGGCCAUACAGGUUACCAUUGGAUUGUAGGGGGCUGGAGUCCUGCCCCCCCUCCAGCCGCCAUGUUUUCAUCCCAUUAAACUCUUUGUUAGGUCUCCUGCUGCUGCUCUCUGUCCCGGGGGGCAGGACUCCUGGCCGUGCUGCCGGGCUCUGCUCCCCCCUGGGAGGGCACUUGCUCCCCAUUCCGCACCCCCACCCUGAGUGUGAGCUCUGCUCCUCGGUGAGCCACUCGCCCCCUUGCACAAGAGCAUGAGCCCUCGUGCCCCUGUGGGGGAGGCCCCCUCCGAACCUCACACACCUGCUGCUCGCUCAGCGCUACGACUUCCUGCCGGGAGCUCAUUGCCCGCCGCAGCUUCCUGCCGGGGGGAGAGCGCGAGCAGCGUGGCGUGGGUGGCAGCGCCGGAGGAGCCAGCACCGGACGCGCCACGGCCCAGGUGUGAUGGAAGCCGUCUCUCUGACCGGGGUGCUCUGGGCCGUCGUGCUGGUUCUCCCGGCCGUGCUGGCCACGGCUCUCUGCAUCGGCUGCCGAGUCACCGGCUCCCCUGCCCACGGAGCCCAGGCGGUCGGGGACUACGAGUAUAAACCCCCACCUUGCGUCCCCCCCAACAGCUUCAUGGUGCUGACCCGAGCCAACUAUCCCUCCAGGAACCAGAUCAAACAGCAACCGGUGGUGCCCGCUGAGCAGUUCCUGUCCAUCCCGCGAUCCCCACAGGCGCCCCAGAGCCGCCAAGUCUCCCUCAGCAGGACAGAGACCGACAAUGAGCGGCCCCGUGGGGAUGACGACGACAACGACUAUAACAACGAGAUCUACAUCCCCGGCUACGUGGAGGUGCUUCCUGACAGCGUCACCGAGACGUCCCCCACGGAGCUGGUCACCUCAGGGCCAGAGCUCAGGGACAGCGUGUCCUCAGUGGCAAUGGGGGAUGAGUACGAGAACAUGCCGGAGGCCCAGAGGGAGUCGCUGGCUGACAGCCUGGAGUACGUCAACAUGCCAGAGCCUGGAUCCAGCCUCCCUGACGCCCACUACGGCGCCAGCGACCGCGAGAGCGAGGAUGAUGGCCCUGACUAUGAGAACCUGAACCGCUGAGCACGAGGCAGACCCCCAGCUCUGGAGAGUGACACCCCUCCCCCGCGGGGAACCUGCCUUCGAGGAGCGAACCAACAGCUGGAUGAGCCCCCAGGAACCUUGCCAUGGGGGGCCUGAAAAACUCUCCCUGCUGGCCCCACCUCUGCACCCUAUAUCCUGAGAAACCACCUGUGAAAGCCCCACUUGGGGGCUCCGUCUGCCCCCCAGGCUCCCCUCCCCCUGGCCACCAUCGUUAAUUUAUUGCCCUUCCCCCAGUCAAUGCUGGUUCUGCACCUUUUCUGACAUAGCCUGAGAAUUUCCCAGCAUCCUUUGAGGUCUCCCCCCCAUGUCCCCCUCCCCUGGGGGGCAGCCUUGGCCCCCAGAUACCAUGGGGGGUGCAGUCAUGUGGGUUGCACUGGGAGCCCCCCUCCCUCUGCUGCGCUGAGCGACCCCAGCGAGUCCAGUCGUUGAAUAAAGCCGUAGGUGCCGC
Molecule: long non-coding RNA, 2076 nt
Filed under: Gopherus evgoodei (Goodes thornscrub tortoise)
Lineage: Eukaryota; Metazoa; Chordata; Testudines; Testudinidae
Description: lncRNA (ENSGEVG00005015739.1)
Source: RNAcentral